GCAUUGGUGGUUCAGUGGUAGAAUUCUCACUUUCCAUGCAGGAGACACGGGUUUGAUUCCUGGCCAGUGCA
Molecule: transfer RNA, 71 nt
Filed under: Loxodonta africana (African savanna elephant)
Lineage: Eukaryota; Metazoa; Chordata; Mammalia; Proboscidea; Elephantidae
Rfam family: tRNA
About the family: Transfer RNA (tRNA) molecules are approximately 80 nucleotides in length. Their secondary structure includes four short double-helical elements and three loops (D, anti-codon, and T loops).
Source: Rfam by way of RNAcentral